RNAcentral lists this ribosomal RNA (655 nucleotides) under Elphidium sp. S1. RNAcentral describes it as "SSU rRNA". The stretch from base 1 to 511 matches the Rfam family "Eukaryotic small subunit ribosomal RNA", at positions 1198 to 1606 of the family's 1831-position model. The record is from RNAcentral. Lineage: Eukaryota; Foraminifera; Rotaliida; Elphidiidae.
ACUCACGCGGGAAUCUUACCGGGUCCGGACACACUGAGGAUUGACAGACAAAUAUGGAAAUUUUAUAUUUCUCAUAUAUAAAGAUGCUAGUUCUUUCAUGAUUAUGUGAUAGGUGGUGCAUGGCCGUUCUUAGUUCGUGGAGUGAUCUGUCUGCUUAAUUGCGUUUCAAUUUUUAUUAUGUAUACGUAUGACCCACGUUUACGCGUGCGAGUCUAGUAUGCUAUCAUUUGAAAGCAACGAACGUGACCGUAUCCUUUUAUUAUAUACGCACGCGUAUAUUUAUUCAUUAAAGGGACCGCUGUUUCUUUUUUUAAACCAGAGGAAGGUUACGGCAAUAACAGGUCUGUGAUGCCCUUCGAUGUUCCGGGCUGCACACGUGCUACAAUGAUUAUUUCAUUAAGUAUCUAUAUUACAAUGUGCAACAUUGUUUAACCUACCCUGAGAAUGGGCGGGUAAUCAAUUAGAAGUAAUGAUUUCCUUUUUUUUAUACGCAACUAUGUACCGUAUAUUACAUCCCAUAAUAUCUUUUUAUUAUGCGUGUGUGUUUUAUUACCGUGUACGCGUAAUUGUUAAUUCAUGGUGGGGAUAGACCAUUGUUAAUUGUUGGUCUCGGUCUUAACUAGGAAUGCCUUGUACGGGUCAUUGGUUCAACAAA